AUGGCUCAGGAUGAACGCUAGCUACAGGCUUAACACAUGCAAGUCGAGGGGAAACGAUAUUGGAAGCUUGCUUCCGAUAGGCGUCGACCGGCGCACGGGUNAGUAACGCGUAUCCAACCUGCCCACACUUGGGGAUAACCUUGCGAAAGUAAGACUAAUACCCAAUGACGUCUCUAGAAGACAUCUGAAAGGGAUUUAAAGAUUUAUCGGUGAUGGAUGGGGAUGCGUCUGAUUAGCUUGUUGACGGGGUAACGGCCCACCAAGGCUACGAUCAGUAGGGGUUCUGAGAGGAAGGUCCCCCACAUUGGAACUGAGACACGGUCCAAACUCCUACGGGAGGCAGCAGUGAGGAAUAUUGGUCAAUGGGCGAGAGCCUGAACCAGCCAAGUAGCGUGCAGGACGACGGCCCUAUGGGUUGUAAACUGCUUUUAUAUGGGGAUAAAGUGAGUUACGUGUAGCUUAUUGCAGGUACCAUAUGAAUAAGGACCGGCUAAUUCCGUG
This 501-nucleotide ribosomal RNA is filed under the name uncultured bacterium. RNAcentral's name for it is "bacterial SSU rRNA". It matches the Rfam family "Bacterial small subunit ribosomal RNA", at positions 19 to 507 of the family's 1533-position model. The record is from RNAcentral.